UACGAAGGGGGCUAGCGUUGCUCGGAAUCACUGGGCGUAAAGCGCACGUAGGCGGACUCUUAAGUCAGGGGUGAAAUCCUGGAGCUCAACUCCAGAACUGCCUUUGAUACUGGGAGUCUUGAGUUCGGGAGAGGUGAGUGGAACUGCGAGUGUAGAGGUGAAAUUCGUAGAUAUUCGCAAGAACACCAGUGGCGAAGGCGACCACCUGGACUGAUACUGACACUGAGGUGCGAAAGCGUGGGGAGCAAACGGG
This 253-nucleotide ribosomal RNA is filed under the name uncultured bacterium. RNAcentral describes it as "partial 16S ribosomal RNA". It matches the Rfam family "Bacterial small subunit ribosomal RNA", at positions 524 to 776 of the family's 1533-position model. The record is from RNAcentral.